CCUGAAAGAUGGUGAACUCGGCCUGGGUCAGGCAAAGCGAGAAGAAACUCUGGUGGGGUAGUAGUCCUGAUAUGCAAAUUGGUCAUCCCCCCUGGGUAUAGGAGGGAAAGACUAACCAAACCAUCUAGUAGCUGG
RNAcentral lists this non-coding RNA (135 nucleotides) under Rattus norvegicus (Norway rat). RNAcentral describes it as "Eukaryotic large subunit ribosomal RNA". It matches the Rfam family "Eukaryotic large subunit ribosomal RNA", at positions 815 to 954 of the family's 3401-position model. Lineage: Eukaryota; Metazoa; Chordata; Mammalia; Rodentia; Muridae. The record is from Rfam by way of RNAcentral.